CAACAAGGGAUUGUCAGGAAUACAGAUGGACCCAACACGCAGAGUGUAAUAGAAUAUAUAACGUAUACCGAUCCUUAGAGUGGCCAGGAAAACGUAUACAAGGACAGAGAGUAGUCAGGGACAAGCAAUGUCAGGGAAGCCAUAAAUCAGGAAUAGUGAAAAAAACAAUAGCCAAGUCAAAAUAGAAUAUAGAAUAGUCAAUCAAAG
Non-coding RNA from Pelobates cultripes (western spadefoot toad), 207 nucleotides. NCBI's taxonomy places the organism in Eukaryota, Metazoa, Chordata, Amphibia, Anura, Pelobatidae. The record is from the annotation of a GenBank genome assembly.